This 3541-nucleotide long non-coding RNA is filed under the name Sus scrofa (pig). Lineage: Eukaryota; Metazoa; Chordata; Mammalia; Artiodactyla; Suidae. The record is from RNAcentral.
GGGGGUCCCAGAUUGGAGACACAGGUGGAGGAAGGAGGCAGGUGAGGCGGCACCGCUCUAGUCCAGGUGGAGGCUGUUGGGGGCCAGGAGGAGCGCAGGCGUGGCUCAGAGUCCCGUGGGCCACAGACCCUGCCCAAGCCCCUGUGCUGUGCGGUGGGUCCGGGAGGGACUCCGGGCGAGUUUGCGGAUGUGGGGUGUUGGGUGCAGGAGCCUGGGGUGGAGGCGAAACUUAGGAACCGUCGGGGCCCAACUGGCCGUGAGUCUAGAGACUCUAGACGGAGGUCACCGCGGGACUUCGUGCAGCGGAGGUGAGGCCUGGGGCGCCUCGACGGUAACGGGCCGGCGAGAGGAGGAGGAACCAGCCGAGCAGCCGUGGGGAACCGGGAGGAGAGACGCCGCGGGCGGUGAGCCUGCUAGGCUCCGACGUCUUCGCCUCCAGCCCCCGACCCAGAGCGUGGCCUCGGCCGCCGUGGGGCCCCCACCCCCUCUUUGCUCUGUUUGGGUCCUGAGGCCGUGACUUUGCCCAUCCUGGGCUGUGCCGACUUCUCAGGGCCGGGUUCAGCGCGAAGCACCAGCGGAUGCUCCGGAGAUGGAGGAUGGAUGGCGCCUCCUUUAGAAGCUCGCCGCAAGGAUUAGAUAAAACGGCACACAGAAAGCACUGGACGGGCUGCUUCGCCCAGCGCUCCGCUUGGGUGCCCGUCUCUCCGGGUCCUGGAACCUCUGGCCUCCCCUUCAGCAGAGCGGGCGAUGAACCUGCUCUCGAGACUCAGAGACCACAGAGCAGUGCUUCUCGACUCUGCCACUGGUCCUCUGGGUGGGCACGGUGCUCAGAUCCGCUCUGUGAGGGACACAGAGAAAGGUGCCCCCCCCCCCGGGGGGGGAGCGGCUUGCUCUGCAGCCAGAGAAGGAAUGAAGAGGGCGCCUGUGUGCUCGUAGGAAGCUGUCUCCGCGUGAUCCUGUUAGAUAUUGUUCACGGGGCUAAAAACAAAACCAAAGUGCCAAAGAGUGUAUGGUACACGCUCACACUGGAGCUGAAACGGGCCGUGAGGACAGAGGAUAUAGGCAGAUGUGCCUCCAUAUGCAUCGAAUGUCUAUAAAGUUGGGAGGUUUUUUUGGUUUGUUUUGCUAUUUUAGGGCGGCACCUGCAGCCUAUGGAGGUUCCCAGGCGAGGGGUCUACUCGGAGCUCCAGCUGCCGGCCUACACCACAGCCACAGCCACGGCCACAGCAGGUCUGACCCGCCUCUGCGACCUCCACCACAGCUCGUGGCAAUGCCGGAUCCUUAACCCACUGAGCGAGACCAGGGAUCGAACCCGCCUCCUCACGGAUCCCAGUCGAGUUCCUUAACUGCUGAGCCAGGAAGGGAACUCCUCCUCUAACGUUUUUCCUAAGGUAUUGAUUAGUUACUCCUCAGGAGAGGAACUGGGUGCCUGGGGUCUGUGGUUAAAGGCACCUUUUUGCUGCACACCUGGGAAAUACGUAAAAGGAAUGGUUUGGGGUGUUACCUCCCUGAAAUAAGAUCAGGGAGGGGAAAAGAAAUAUUUUAAUUCAGGGGCGCAGAUUCCGACACCGGCGAGAAGUUGAAUAUGUGUGAUGGUCACCUGUGAGCCAGGAGGGAGUGGUGGGGACAUGUCCCGGGAGGCCCUGCUUGGUGUCAGCACAUGGCUGCCUGCAGACGUGUGUGCAGACGUCAGAGCUUCUCAUCUCCAAGGAGCCCUGGAAGUGGGGUGGCCGUGGGCGAGGCAGAUGGAGAGCGUGGCCCAGGGAGCGGCGGGCUGGAGGGAGACGGGGAAGGGUGGUCUGGCUCCUCUACUGUGUCCCCAACCCCCUCCCCUGCUGCCUGCCACUUAGGAGAAUGGAAAAGGGGGCGGGCUCCCUUUCCCAGUCCCUCUUGCAGUGGGGAGUCGUCAGGUGACACAGUUCUGGCCCAUUAGGAGUCUUUUUUUUUUGGCCACACCUGCAGCACAUGGAAGGACGUUCCCAGGCCAGGGAUUGAAUCUGAGCCACAGCUACAGCAACACGGGCUGCUCAAGCCACUUCACUGGGCCAGGGAUCAAAUUGUGCCACUUCCACAGCGACCCAAGCCACUGCAGUGGGACCCUUAACCCCAUGCCCCACAGUAGGAACUCCCUAAGGAGUCUUUUUCUGGAGGAGGGGGAGGUUCUGGCAAAUGCAAUCUCUUCAUGAUAAAACGGACAAAUGCUAGCGCUUCCAUUGCGGGUCAGUAGGUUAAGAAUCUGAUUCGUGGAGUUCCCUCAUGGCCCAGCAGUAACGAACCUGACUAGUAUCCAUGAGGACGUGGGUUCAAUCCCUGGCGUCCAUCAGUGGGUUAAGGAUCCAGGGUUGUGGCAAGCUGAGGCGUAGGUCACAGAUGCAGCUCCAGUUUCAACUCCUAGCCUGGGAACUUCCGUAUGCCUCAGGUGCAGCCCUGAAAAGCAAACAACAACAACAACAACAACAAUAACAACAAAAAACCUUUCAAUUGACCCUUAACAACCAUUCCUCUUCCUUCCUGUCUUAAAUGUGGAUGCAGAUGCAAUGCCAGGUGCAGUCGCAGCCAUUUUGCCAACAAAAAGAGAAAAGCCAAGACAUUUCAGAGAUAGGAAACCUGACAUCACGGGCCUGGUAAAGAAGUGCCAGCCAUGGCUGAUCUCCACGCUCCCUGGGGUGGGGGAAACGACACUUCUGUAUUUGUCUGAGCCGCUAUGAUCUGUUUUCUAUUUUUUUUGUAGUCAAACAUAGCUUUAUAGAAGACGCAUAUUUGACUGAACUCAGAAGAGGAGGGGAGAGGAGAGGCCAGGCAGGAGUCUGUGGAGGGUAGAGUCUGAGGGGAGAGACUUCCUUUGGAGGUGGGGAGGCCAGAGCAUCUUUCUAAUGUAAUAAGCAGUAUUUAUGUAGCGUAUACUGUGUGCCCCGAACUGGGUGUUUUUUUUUGUUUUUUGUUUUUUGUUUUGGUCUUUUUGUCUUUUCAGGCUGCACCCACGGCGUAUGGAAGUUCCCAGGCCAGGGGUCCAAUCAGAACUGUAGCUGCUGGCCUGCACCACAGCCACGUGGGAUCUGAGCCACAUCUGCGACCUACACCACAGCUUAUGGCAAUGCCAGAUCCUUAACCCACUGAGCAAGGCCAGGGAUUAAACCCGCGUCCUCAUGGAUGCCGGUCGGGCUCACUAACCACUGAGCCACAACAAGAACUCCCGACCAGGGAUUUACACAGAUCAACGUACCCCUCGCCACAGUCGAGUGAGCUAGGCCCAGGCCUACCCCCUCAUGUGGCGGGUCCUGAGGCCCAGAGAAGCAAGGCAGCUCGGCCAGAGGUCCUCCAGCCACCGGCAGUGUGAUAGGAUUUGAAUUCAGAGAGCAGUUGUCCAGCCCGUGGUGGACUCUGCUUCCUUCUUGGGUCUCCGGUGUGAAAGGGGACCCCGCGAGCCUGCCUCCUGCGGGUGUGGCCCCAGAGGCAGUGUGAUGUGCCAGUAUGUGCCAGUACCGGGAGCUGGCGUCUGCUGGCCCAGCAGCCGGGUGACCACGCCCUUUGCAGCCCGAGG